This 478-nucleotide ribosomal RNA is filed under the name uncultured bacterium. RNAcentral describes it as "bacterial SSU rRNA". It matches the Rfam family "Bacterial small subunit ribosomal RNA", at positions 8 to 526 of the family's 1533-position model. The record is from RNAcentral.
AGAGUUUGAUCCUGGCUCAGGAUGAACGCUGGCGGUAUGCCUUACACAUGCAAGUCGUACGAGAGUUUUUAACUCAAGUGGCGGACGGGUGAGUAACACGUAAGAAUUUGCCUUUAGGAGGGGAAUAACAACUGGAAACGGUUGCUAAUACCCCAUAUGCUUUCGAGUAAAACGGAUUUUCCGCCUAAAGAGAAGCUUGCGGCUGAUUAGCUUGUUGGUGAGGUAAUGGCUCACCAAGGCGACGAUCAGUAUCUGGUUUGAGAGGACGAUCAGACACACUGGAACUGAGACACGGUCCAGACUCCUACGGGAGGCAGCAGUGGGGAAUUUUCCGCAAUGGGCGAAAGCCUGACGGAGCAAUACCGCGUGAGGGAUGAAUGCCUAUGGGUUGUAAACCUCUUUUUUCAGGGAGGAACAAAAUGACGUGUACCUGAAGAAUAAGCAUCGGCUAACUCCGUGCCAGCAGCCGCGGUAAUAC